GAGGUCACGGCGUGAAGUGUGGUU
RNAcentral lists this non-coding RNA (24 nucleotides) under Arabidopsis thaliana (thale cress). The record is from RNAcentral. Lineage: Eukaryota; Viridiplantae; Streptophyta; Magnoliopsida; Brassicales; Brassicaceae.